Gigantopelta aegis is the source of this 871-nucleotide long non-coding RNA. RefSeq lists it as uncharacterized. The record is from RefSeq and is a predicted model, not a curated record. The transcript has 3 exons. Lineage: Eukaryota; Metazoa; Mollusca; Gastropoda; Neomphalida; Peltospiridae.
GCCAGAUUAGAUCAAGCCAAUACUGUUAGUGGGAUGGUCUAAUUGAUACUUUAUCAAAUGCCAUAAAAGAAAAGUAAAAACACACGCGAUGUAGAGAGUGGAGAAGAAUAAUUUGGGGAAUUCCCUACAGUAGAAGAUGGUCAGCCAUUUUGGAGGAAGCACAUUUCGCAACACCUGCCAGUUGUGGACACUUGUUCAGUAAAAAGGGAGUGCUUAAAUAAUGCUGGCUACACCCACUAACACAGAUGAUGUCCUUCAGAACAAAAAAGAUGAAGUUUUGCACAUACUUUGUGUAAAUCUCCUUUCACAAAAUCCUGAAUGUGUCUGAAGCUGCUUGUUGUCAAUUAUUGAAAUUAAACUGAAUAUUCAACAAAUCACUACAAGCGAAAAUGCUUACGAAAUGGAUAUAUAUCAUGGAUUUGAAGAGAAAGAAAUACGUACUGAUCAACAGGUGCCAGCUGUGCUAAAACCGACCUUUCUUUCGAUGUUUGGUUGUAUGAGGUGGAAUGUCUUCUAAGGGACAAAAAGCAUUCUACCGAUGACGUGUCAUUGCUCAAGCAGUUCGUCGUUCCUUAAAGGGCGAUGCAGCGAGAGUUGCAUUGCGUCUGGGUUCAGACGCUAGCCUUAAUCAGCUGAUCCACAAACUCAAAAGUAUAUAUGGUUCUGUUGAUGAGGGUGAGGCACUACUUGCUGACUUCUACAGUGCACAACAGCAGGAUGAUGAAACAGUUUUUUCUUGGGGUUGUCGGUCAGUGCACCACGACUGGUAUAUCAAGGCCGUGGUAUGUGCUAUCCUGUGUGUGGAAUGUGCAUAUAACAGAUCCCUUACUACUAAUGGAAAAAUGUAGCGGGUUUCCUCUACGACUGUGUC